Molecule: ribosomal RNA, 459 nt
Filed under: uncultured bacterium
Lineage: Bacteria
Description: partial 16S ribosomal RNA
Rfam family: Bacterial small subunit ribosomal RNA
Source: RNAcentral
CCUACGGGUGGCAGCAGUGAGGAAUAUUGGUCAAUGGGCGAGAUCCUGAACCAGCCAAGCCGCGUGCGGGAAGACGGCCCUACGGGUCGUAAACCUCUUUUGUCGGAGAAUAAAACCCGCGACUUGUCCCGGUCUGCAGGUAUCCGACGAAUAAGCACCGGCUAACUCCGUGCCAGCAGCCGCGGUAAUACGGAGGAUCCGAGCGUUAUCCGGAUUUAUUGGGGUUAAAGGGUGCGUAGGCGGGCCGUUAAGUCAGCGGUAAAAUCGCGGGGCUCAACCCCGCCGCGCCGUUGAAACUGGCAGCCUUGAGUUGGCGAGAGGUACGCGGAAUGCGUGGUGUAGCGGUGAAAUGCAUAGAUAUCGCGAAGAACCCCGAUUGCGAAGGCAGCGUGCCGGCGCCACACUGACGCUGAGGCACGUAGGCGUGGGGAUCAAACAGGAUUAGAUACCCGGGUAGUC